AGUCGAGCGGAUGAAGGAGCUUGCUCCUGGAUUCAGCGGCGGACGGGUGAGUAAUGCCUAGGAAUCUGCCUGGUAGUGGGGGACAACGUUUCGAAAGGAACGCUAAUACCGCAUACGUCCUACGGGAGAAAGCAGGGGACCUUCGGGCCUUGCGCUAUCAGAUGAGCCUAGGUCGGAUUAGCUAGUUGGUGAGGUAAUGGCUCACCAAGGCGACGAUCCGUAACUGGUCUGAGAGGAUGAUCAGUCACACUGGAACUGAGACACGGUCCAGACUCCUACGGGAGGCAGCAGUGGGGAAUAUUGGACAAUGGGCGAAAGCCUGAUCCAGCCAUGCCGCGUGUGUGAAGAAGGUCUUCGGAUUGUAAAGCACUUUAAGUUGGGAGGAAGGGUUGUAGAUUAAUACUCUGCAAUUUUGACGUUACCGACAGAAUAAGCACCGGCUAACUCUGUGCCAGCAGCCGCGGUAAUACAGAGGGUGCAAGCGUUAAUCGGAAUUACUGGGCGUAAAGCGCGCGUAGGUGGUUUGUUAAGUUGGAUGUGAAAUCCCCGGGCUCAACCUGGGAACUGCAUUCAAAACUGACAAGCUAGAGUAUGGUAGAGGGUGGUGGAAUUUCCUGUGUAGCGGUGAAAUGCGUAGAUAUAGGAAGGAACACCAGUGGCGAAGGCGACCACCUGGACUGAUACUGACACUGAGGUGCGAAAGCGUGGGGAGCAAACAGGAUUAGAUACCCUGGUAGUCCACGCCGUAAACGAUGUCAACUAGCCGUUGGGAGCCUUGAGCUCUUAGUGGCGCAGCUAACGCAUUAAGUUGACCGCCUGGGGAGUACGGGCCGCAAGGUUAAAACUCAAAUGAAUUGACGGGGGCCCGCACAAGCCGGGGGAGCAUGUGGUUUUAAUUUCGAAGCAACCGCGAAAAAACCUUACCCAGGCCUUUGACCUUCCCAUUGAAUUUUCCCAGAAGAUGG
This 965-nucleotide ribosomal RNA is filed under the name Pseudomonas sp. JY02. RNAcentral's name for it is "bacterial SSU rRNA". It matches the Rfam family "Bacterial small subunit ribosomal RNA", at positions 60 to 1012 of the family's 1533-position model. The record is from RNAcentral. Lineage: Bacteria; Pseudomonadati; Pseudomonadota; Gammaproteobacteria; Pseudomonadales; Pseudomonadaceae.